UCUAAAACGAGAAACAGAUGAAGAGAAGAACGUUACAUUGAUUUCAACUAUAUUGAGAUGAGUUAAACAGUCGGACAACUAUUGCUUUGGUUUGAUGUUUGUCAACCAACAUAACCACAAAACUGAAGUUGAACUUAAAAUAUAACAAAAGCGUCAAACCACAGUUUGGGUAAAUGUGGCAGAAAAAACAUUCAGACUCCCUGAUUUAUCAUUACAAGUUCAUCUUGAUGUAAAAACAGAACUUUUUUAUGGUGGUUUUCCUUGGGGGACAUCAAUGUUAACUGAAGUCUGCCGUAACCUCCGGGUAAGGAGAUGUCAUUUUCUGAUGGCUGAUGAUCGUAGCUUUUUUGUGAACAUCUUUUGAAUUAUUAAUAAGUUAGAUAGUAAUGAGCAUGCAUAACAGGAAAGAUUACAGAUAAAAGGAAUUCUUAAGUUGGAUGAAGAUAUGCAAAAGUAAGCUUAAGCUAGAGACUUAAAGAUUGAAUCAAACUGUUGAUCAAAUGAUUGGGGGAUAUGAAUAUGAUAGAAAUAUUUGAACUGGACACUGAAGAUAUAUAUGAAUAAAUAUUAUGAACAGGAGAUAUUUAGAACUAACAUUCAAGAAAAUGCUAUGCUGUCAUAUGGAGGUCAAAGAUUAAGGAAAUCUAAGAAUGAUCCAAACUAAUACAAUAACCAGAGUCAUACAGACAGCCACAAUUAGCAGAUGUUAUAACAACAAAUAUUUCCUAUAGUGUGGAGACAGUUAUAUCAUUAAACCAGAAAGUGCUAUAAUACAGCCCUGUUAUACCUGCUCAACUAAAGUGAGUUUACUC
Mytilus trossulus (common blue mussel) is the source of this 812-nucleotide long non-coding RNA. RefSeq lists it as uncharacterized. NCBI's taxonomy places the organism in Eukaryota, Metazoa, Mollusca, Bivalvia, Mytilida, Mytilidae. The transcript has 8 exons. The record is from RefSeq and is a predicted model, not a curated record.